This 297-nucleotide long non-coding RNA is filed under the name Hordeum vulgare. RNAcentral's name for it is "long non-coding RNA (HVUL_LNC014347)". The record is from RNAcentral. Lineage: Eukaryota; Viridiplantae; Streptophyta; Magnoliopsida; Poales; Poaceae.
ACAAUACAUGCAUUCGCACUUGGAUGGAAAGCAAGUCAAAUACAUGCAGCUUGUUUCAAAUAUGGCCAACCCUUCUGCUGCAGAAAACCGACUCGGUAAAGCAAUAAGACUCGUCAACCAAUCACAUGAAGAUAAGCGGGUGCUCUAGGAAUAGAUGUGCACGAUUUCUUCAACCCUUUCAUGGACCGAUUGACAUCCACAGAUAACACGUACGUACGAACAUUGGCUAUACAAAGAUGAUCAAUGGUCUAUAUCAUCGAGCCUUCAAGUGCAGUCCCUCCCAUCCCUGCGUGUGCC